Molecule: long non-coding RNA, 782 nt
Organism: Planococcus citri (citrus mealybug)
Lineage: Eukaryota; Metazoa; Arthropoda; Insecta; Hemiptera; Pseudococcidae
Exons: 2
Source: RefSeq, a predicted model, not a curated record
UUUUAUGUACUUUCCAUCCUACUCGUAUAUUGAAACCGUUCAACUAACCAACGCUGGACUCUGAUCUUCAUCUAGCGAUUUCGCACACCUCGAUAAAUCUUUCGUUCGUCGGCAUACCGUACACAGCCAAGUGGAAAAAAGUUAACACCCAAAGUACACUACACCUUACCUAUACCUACCUAUAUUGCACCGUAAGACGACGGAGCACAGAGAAAUGAAAUGUGAGGCAGGCGCAGGAGGAAGAAGGGUUAUAUUCGGACAUGAAAAAGGUUUAAUUUACCGCCGAAAUUACUCUAUUUAUUACCUGACACUCGGAAGUACAUAUUUUGCUGGAUGGCAACGACACUGGUAUGCUUAUGGUCGUCGUCAAAGGCAGCAUAUUCAACGAUACGGAUUGUUCGAUGGACUUUUGUUGAGCUACGGCGGCGGUUUCUUCGGCAGAGGCGUUUACACGGCUAUACGAGUAUAAUUCUUCGGGCGAUAUACAAAACGAAUUCAUACCAGAUUCGCCUCGCUCCGUCGGAUACGUUCCGAUAUAAAAAUCGGCGCUCAUACAAGAAGAUUUGUCCGACGACGACGAUACAGUCGACGAGAAAUUAUCGUUUUCUUGGUUUAUUUCUAGUAUCGGUGAUAAAGGUCUGAUGGGCGUGAUCGAGUCUGGAGAUCUACGUUGAUGAUGGUUUUUCUCGAUCUGAUUACGAUAUCCGUUUAUUGAUUUGAAAGUGGACAGGUCUUCGCUUGGGUCGCUAUCGAUACCCUUUUGGUUGUUCAGAUAUCCGUUG